UCGGGGCAGUGGGAGCCUGCCAGGCCCGCCGGGUCCUGGAACCCAGGGGUGGGGGCAGGCCUUCCUGCCACUUGGCAGAGGGCGGUUGUUUCACUUUACGAGGGGACUCUGUAAAGAGUCCAGGCGACUAUUUUUAAUCGGGUUCAUUUUUCACCUGCUUGGAAAGUGGAACAUCUCCUGGGAGGUGACAAGUCGUGAUCAAAGGCAAGUCUCCAGGCAGAGAGAGAGCUGGCAGGCUUCCGAGCCCAGUAGCUCCAGGGACAGAACAUGCAGCAAGGAUCCUCUUGUUUGACUUGGCCCAGCAGCGCCAACACGGGUCACCGUCCCUGAGGAUGGAUCUCACCCAGUCCUGGCCUCACUGCUGGGCAGCCCUGAAGGGGCUGAGGGCCAGUGGACUAGGCUCAGAGAUUGUACCUGCAAAUACAAAAGUGAAACGAGGGCCAAAAGACUCUGGAAGAUAAAUGGGGGCCCUGGGGGAAACUUACACCAAAAACUAAACCAAUCUGCAGUAGCCUGACUCCCUGAAUGACCAAGGGAAAAAAAAUCAGUCAUGUUUUCCCUAUCAUGUGUUGUACAAACCCCUGUAGAUUGUAUGCACACUAUUCUAUAUAACAGGAAAACAUACCGUUGCCUUUCUCAGGCCCACACUUUACUUCUCACAGUAAAUAGAAAAAUGGGAUGACUGCCCUUCGAGAGGCAGCAGAGCCAGUGGUUCUCAAGUGCACUCAGCUUUCUUUCUGGGACUGAGCCCUCACUCCUCUGGGCAAGUUUCUUCCUCAUCAGAAGGGGCUGAUAACAGCGCCUGCCACAUGGGACACCAGGUAGCAUUUCUUCUUCUCCCCUUAUACAUGAAUCUGGAUGUGAACUGAAAGACAAGAAAUAUAAAGCAGGGUCCCUGCUCUUCAGCAGCUUCCAAGCCCGUGAAUCUCACAAAUGAAAGAAGAGACUACAAGCAAAUUCUUGACAGCAUCUCCCAUGUCCUCACACAGUUUCUCCCACUAUCUCUUUAUUGUAUGUUCAUGGAAAACGUGUGUGGGGAAGGCAAGGACUCCGGAAGCCAGAGUCCUGGCCCUGCAGCAGCUUAUCAAUCACCAUUCAUCUUGGAAGCUCACAGCCCCCCAUGCCCAUUUGCUGAAGGGGAGUGACUCACCGUGACACCAACAGCAAUGCUGACAGUUAAUUGAAUUCCGGAGCUAACGUUUCUUCCUACCUAUAGCAAUUCUUCACAGCUCCCAGCUCAAGAUUGCUCUAAGCAAGCUGCUGUGUUUAUGAGAGAGAGAGAGAUAGAGAGGGUGGGAGAGAGAGGGAGAGAGAGAGAGAAACAGAGGAAAAGAGAGGGCAUCUUUCUCAAGUGAUUGAAAGAUCAGCAUUUGUAUGUAAGAUUUCACUUUGCUUUGACUUUCAGGCUUAGAACUUAUGCAAACUUGGUCCAGAAGCAAAUGGACCAGACAGUUUUUAUGGCUGAAUAUUGCAGUUAGCAUCAUCCUGUGAGGCACAGGGCAAUGACAGACCAGCCUUAACCGGCAAGCAGCUGGCCCCUGUUUUGACAGUCUUUUAUCUUCCCAGCAAUGACCAAGGGCGGUUGUUAUUUGCUGACUGCCUGGCUGCUGGUUAGGAGUAUAGAAACUAAUACAUGUGUAGAGAAUUUUUUUGAGCAAAGAUUUAUUUCUAGAGGCCCUUCACAACAUGUGUAUAUUUCAAGAGGAGAGUGACUAUGCAAGGUGAGGAAGACCAAUAUUUCUAUUUGGAGCAUUGAGUGUUAGGAAGUGGGCUUGAUUGGUCUGAUGCAAGUCAGGUUGCUCUGGAUUAUGGUGGAAGCAGGUACUUCCAUAAAUAACUAAAUAAAUAACUAAAUAAAUAAAUGUCACAAUAGAUGAUUCAUUCAAACUGUUUAGCAAACCGCCUCAGAGAUCAUGUGCACACAAAAGCAGAUAAAGUUUUUGGGAGAUUACAAACGAGGCAGUAGGGUCUGAGAAAGGGACCCCCGCCCCCAUAUGGGA
This is a long non-coding RNA of Canis lupus familiaris (dog), 2000 nucleotides long. RefSeq lists it as uncharacterized. The record is from RefSeq and is a predicted model, not a curated record. NCBI's taxonomy places the organism in Eukaryota, Metazoa, Chordata, Mammalia, Carnivora, Canidae. The transcript has 3 exons.